RNAcentral lists this ribosomal RNA (501 nucleotides) under uncultured bacterium. RNAcentral's name for it is "partial 16S ribosomal RNA". It matches the Rfam family "Bacterial small subunit ribosomal RNA", at positions 30 to 523 of the family's 1533-position model. The record is from RNAcentral.
AUUGAACGCUGGCGGCAGGCUUAACACAUGCAAGUCGAGCGGGGGAAGGUAGCUUGCUACUGGACCUAGCGGCGGACGGGUGAGUAAUGCUUAGGAAUCUGCCUAUUAGUGGGGGACAACAUCUCGAAAGGGAUGCUAAUACCGCAUACGUCCUACGGGAGAAAGCAGGGGAUCUUCGGACCUUGCGCUAAUAGAUGAGCCUAAGUGGGAUUAGCUAGUUGGUGGGGUAAAGGCCUACCAAGGCGACGAUCUGUAGCGGGUCUGAGAGGAUGAUCCGCCACACUGGGACUGAGACACGGCCCAGACUCCUACGGGAGGCAGCAGUGGGGAAUAUUGGACAAUGGGGGGAACCCUGAUCCAGCCAUGCCGCGUGUGUGAAGGAGGCCUUAUGGUUGUAAAGCACUUUAAGCGAGGAGGAGGCUACUCUAGUUAAUACCUAGGGAUAGUGGACGUUACUCGCAGAAUAAGCACCGGCUAACUCUGUGCCAGCCGCCGCAGUAA